AGGCUCUGGUUUUUCUUCAAAUCGUAUAAAUCUUUCGCCUUUUACUAAAGAUUUCCGUGGAGAGAAACAAUUUUGAGUUUUAAGCUAAUUUUUCGAAGUCUUGUAUUUUGCAGGACU
Neofelis nebulosa (Clouded leopard) is the source of this 117-nucleotide small nuclear RNA. RefSeq annotates it as U5 spliceosomal RNA. Lineage: Eukaryota; Metazoa; Chordata; Mammalia; Carnivora; Felidae. The record is from RefSeq and is a predicted model, not a curated record. The transcript has a single exon.